Molecule: ribosomal RNA, 500 nt
Filed under: uncultured bacterium
Lineage: Bacteria
Description: bacterial SSU rRNA
Rfam family: Bacterial small subunit ribosomal RNA
Source: RNAcentral
UGAACGCUGGCGGCGUGCUUAACACAUGCAAGUCGAACGAGAAAGGGAUUGCUUGCAAUCCUGAGUAGAGUGGCGCACGGGUGAGUAACACGUAGAUAAUCUACCUUCAAGCCUGGGAUAACUGUCCGAAAGGACAGCUAAUACCGGAUAAAGUUAAUUAACAUAAGUUAAUUGAUGAAGGAUUGCCUAUUCUUGAAAGCAAUUGUUUGGAGAUGAGUUUGCGGACCAUUAGUUUGUUGGCGGGGUAACGGCCCACCAAGACUACGAUGGUUAGCUGGUCUGAGAGGAUGAUCAGCCACACUGGAACUGGUACACGGUCCAGACUCCUACGGGAGGCAGCAGUGAGGAAUUUUGCGCAAUGGGGGAAACCCUGACGCAGCAACGCCGCGUGAGUGAAGAAGGCCCUUGGGUCGUAAAGCUCUGUCGACAGGGAAGAAAUUGCAGAUAUCCAAUAGGUAUCUGCAUUGACGGUACCUGUAGAGGAAGCACCGGCUAACUCC